Molecule: ribosomal RNA, 442 nt
Filed under: uncultured bacterium
Lineage: Bacteria
Description: partial 16S ribosomal RNA
Rfam family: Bacterial small subunit ribosomal RNA
Source: RNAcentral
CCUACGGGCGGCAGCAGUGGGGAAUAUUGGGCAAUGGGCGCAAGCCUGACCCAGCAACGCCGCGUGAAGGAAGAAGGCUUUCGGGUUGUAAACUUCUUUUAAGGGGGAAGAGCAGAAGACGGUACCCCUUGAAUAAGCCACGGCUAACUACGUGCCAGCAGCCGCGGUAAUACGUAGGUGGCAAGCGUUGUCCGGAUUUACUGGGUGUAAAGGGCGUGCAGCCGGAGAGACAAGUCAGAUGUGAAAUCCACGGGCUCAACCCGUGAACUGCAUUUGAAACUGUUUCCCUUGAGUGUCGGAGAGGUAAUCGGAAGUCCUUGUGUAGCGGUGAAAUGCGUAGAUAUAAGGAAGAACACCAGUGGCGAAGGCGGAUUACUGGACGAUAACUGACGGUGAGGCGCGAAAGCGUGGGGAGCAAACAGGAUUAGAUACCCCUGUAGUC